GGGUUGUGAGGUUAAGCGACUAAGCGUACACGGUGGAUGCCCUGGCAGUCAGAGGCGAUGAAGGACGUGCUAAUCUGCGAUAAGCGCCGGUAAGGUGAUAUGAACCGUUAUAACCGGCGAUUUCCGAAUGGGGAAACCCAGUGUGACUCGUCACACUAUCAUUAACUGAAUCCAUAGGUUAAUGAGGCGAACCGGGGGAACUGAAACAUCUAAGUACCCCGAGGAAAAGAAAUCAACCGAGAUUCCCCCAGUAGCGGCGAGCGAACGGGGAGGAGCCCAGAGCCUGAAUCAGCAUGUGUGUUAGUGGAAGCGUCUGGAAAGGCGCGCGAUACAGGGUGACAGCCCCGUACACAAAAGCGCAUGUGCUGUGAGCUCGAUGAGUAGGGCGGGACACGUGGUAUCCUGUCUGAAUAUGGGGGGACCAUCCUCCAAGGCUAAAUACUCCUGACUGACCGAUAGUGAACCAGUACCGUGAGGGAAAGGCGAAAAGAACCCCGGCGAGGGGAGUGAAAAAGAACCUGAAACCGUGUACGUACAAGCAGUGGGAGCCCCACCACUAAGCCAGUGGUGAACUCCACAUACGCAUCCUUUGCUGAGGAUGCGGUUAACGGAGCGAAAGCGACGUUCAACCGCAAAAGAAGCAGAGGGGGCUUAGUGGUGGGGUGACUGCGUACCUUUUGUAUAAUGGGUCAGCGACUUAUAUUCUGUAGCAAGGUUAACCGAAUAGGGGAGCCGGAGGGAAACCGAGUCUUAACCGGGCGUUAAGUUGCAGGGUAUAGACCCGAAACC
RNAcentral lists this ribosomal RNA (789 nucleotides) under Salmonella enterica subsp. enterica. RNAcentral's name for it is "bacterial LSU rRNA". It matches the Rfam family "Bacterial large subunit ribosomal RNA", at positions 1 to 722 of the family's 2925-position model. Lineage: Bacteria; Pseudomonadati; Pseudomonadota; Gammaproteobacteria; Enterobacterales; Enterobacteriaceae. The record is from RNAcentral.